GAUGAACGCUGGCGGCGUGCCUAAUACAUGCAAGUCGAGCGGACGGACGAUAAUCUUGCUGCUCUGUUGUUAGCGGCGGGCGUGUGAGUAACACGUGUAUAACCUACCUAUAUGACGGGUAUAACUUCGAGACACCGGCUCUUAUACCGUAGAAUAUCUUGAAGCGCAGUGUGCAAAGGUGAAAGACGGUGUUGCUGUCACUUCUAGAUGCAUACGCGCUGCAUUAGCUAGUUGGUAAGGUAACGGCUUACCAAGGCAACGAUGCAUAGCCGAACUGAGAGGGGGAUCGGCGACACUGGAACUGAGACGCGGUCAAGACGACUACGGGAGGCAGCAGAAGGGAACGUGACGCAGCGGGGGGAAGCAUGACGGAGCAGGGGGGAGUGAGUGACGGCGGUGUUCGGAGCGGAAAGAUCUGCUAUUAGGGAAGAACAGAUGUGUAAGUAACUGUGGCGAUAGUGACGGUAACGAAUAAGAAAGCACCGGCUAACUACGUG
RNAcentral lists this ribosomal RNA (497 nucleotides) under uncultured bacterium. RNAcentral describes it as "partial 16S ribosomal RNA". It matches the Rfam family "Bacterial small subunit ribosomal RNA", at positions 28 to 507 of the family's 1533-position model. The record is from RNAcentral.